Molecule: unclassified non-coding RNA, 343 nt
Filed under: Hevea brasiliensis (rubber tree)
Lineage: Eukaryota; Viridiplantae; Streptophyta; Magnoliopsida; Malpighiales; Euphorbiaceae
Source: RNAcentral
UGGCCGCCACCGUCGUCUAUUCUCGUAGGUAAAGAAGAAAAAAAAAAUUCAAGACAAAAAAGUUCUUAAAAUCCUAUAAGAUUUCAAAUCCAAAGCUCCAAAAUUCAAAAUUGGUCUCUUCUUCAUUUUCACCACCAAAGAAUUUAUAGAUAAGAUAGAUAGAUGUUAACGGAACGGAAACCAUUAAUGAGAGCCCUAAGGCGAAGCCACACUUCAUCUUCUUCGCCGUCAAAUUCCUCGUCACCGUCGUCUUCGUCGUCGUCGUCGUGGAUUCAUUUGCGAUCAGUCUUACUAGUAGUUGCUUUCUUAUCUUCGUCGUCGUCCCCAUCAUCAUCUUCCUCAC